GCGCCCGUAGCUCAGCUGGAUAGAGUACCUGGCUACGAACCAGGUGGUCGGAGGUUCGAACCCUCCCGGGCGCACCA
RNAcentral lists this transfer RNA (77 nucleotides) under Aeromonas salmonicida. Its description in RNAcentral is "tRNA-Arg". It matches the Rfam family "tRNA". From Rfam's summary of the family: Transfer RNA (tRNA) molecules are approximately 80 nucleotides in length. Lineage: Bacteria; Pseudomonadati; Pseudomonadota; Gammaproteobacteria; Aeromonadales; Aeromonadaceae. The record is from RNAcentral.